GACGAACCGUGCGAACGUUAUUCGGAAUCACUGGGCUUAAAGCGCGUGUAGGCGGCCCGGUACGUCCCUCGCUGAAAGCCCCCGGCUCAACUGGGGAGGGUCAUUCGAUACUGAUCGACUCGAAGGCAGGAGAGGGAAGUGGAAUUCCCGGUGUAGUGGUGAAAUGCGUAGAUAUCGGGAGGAACACCAGUGGCGAAGGCGACCUCCUGGCCUGUUCUUGACGCUGAGGCGCGAAAGCUAGGGGAGCAAACAGG
This 254-nucleotide ribosomal RNA is filed under the name uncultured bacterium. RNAcentral's name for it is "partial 16S ribosomal RNA". It matches the Rfam family "Bacterial small subunit ribosomal RNA", at positions 524 to 776 of the family's 1533-position model. The record is from RNAcentral.